This 467-nucleotide ribosomal RNA is filed under the name uncultured bacterium. Its description in RNAcentral is "partial 16S ribosomal RNA". It matches the Rfam family "Bacterial small subunit ribosomal RNA", at positions 28 to 507 of the family's 1533-position model. The record is from RNAcentral.
GACGAACGCUGGCGGCGUGCUUAACACAUGCAAGUCGAACGGAAAGGCCCUGCUUUUGUGGGGUGCUCGAGUGGCGAACGGGUGAGUAACACGUGAGUAACCUGCCCUUGACUUUGGGAUAACUUCAGGAAACUGGGGCUAAUACCGGAUAGGAGCUCCUGCUGCAUGGUGGGGGUUGGAAAGUUUCGGCGGUUGGGGAUGGACUCGCGGCUUAUCAGCUUGUUGGUGGGGUAGUGGCUUACCAAGGCUUUGACGGGUAGCCGCCCUGAGAGGGUGACCGGCCACAUUGGGACUGAGAUACGGCCAGACUCCUACGGGAGGCAGCAGUGGGGAAUAUUGCACAAUGGGCGGAAGCCUGAUGCAGCAACGCCGCGUGCGGGAUGACGGCCUUCGGGUUGUAAACCGCUUUCGCCUGUGACGAAGCGUGAGUGACGGUAAUGGGUAAAGAAGCACCGGCUAACUACGUG